GGUUAAGUUAGAAAGGGCGCACGGUGGAUGCCUUGACACUAGGAGUCGAUGAAGGACGGGACUAACGCCGAUAUGCUUCGGGGAGCUGUAAGUAAGCUUUGAUCCGAAGAUUUCCGAAUGGGGAAACCCACCAUACGUAAUGGUAUGGUAUCCUUAUCUGAAUACAUAGGGUAAGGAAGACAGACCCAGGGAACUGAAACAUCUAAGUACCUGGAGGAAGAGAAAGCAAAUGCGAUUUCCUGAGUAGCGGCGAGCGAAACGGAACAUAGCCCAAACCAAGAGGCUUGCCUCUUGGGGUUGUAGGACAUUCUAUACGGAGUUACAAAGGAACGAGGUAGACGAAGCGACCUGGAAAGGUCCGUCGUAGAGGGUAACAACCCCGUAGUCGAAACUUCGUUCUCUCUUGAAUGUAUCCUGAGUACGGCGGAACACGUGAAAUUCCGUCGGAAUCUGGGAGGACCAUCUCCCAAGGCUAAAUACUCCCUAGUGAUCGAUAGUGAACCAGUACCGUGAGGGAAAGGUGAAAAGCACCCCGGAAGGGGAGUGAAAGAGAUCCUGAAACCGUGUGCCUACAAAUAGUCAGAGCCCGUUAACGGGUGAUGGCGUGCCUUUUGUAGAAUGAACCGGCGAGUUACGAUCCCGUGCGAGGUUAAGCUGAAGAGGCGGAGCCGCAGCGAAAGCGAGUCUGAAUAGGGCGUUUAGUACGUGGUCGUAGACCCGAAACCAGGUGAUCUACCCAUGUCCAGGGUGAAGUUCAGGUAACACUGAAUGGAGGCCCGAACCCACGCACGUUGAAAAGUGCGGGGAUGAGGUGUGGGUAGCGGAGAAAUUCCAAUCGAACCUGGAGAUAGCUGGUUCUCCCCGAAAUAGCUUUAGGGCUAGCCUUAAGUGUAAGAGUCUUGGAGGUAGAGCACUGAUUGGACUAGGGGUCCUCAUCGGAUUACCGAAUUCAGUCAAACUCCGAAUGCCAAUGACUUAUCCUUAGGAGUCAGACUGCGAGUGAUAAGAUCCGUAGUCAAAAGGGAAACAGCCCAGACCGCCAGCUAAGGUCCCAAAGUGUGUAUUAAGUGGAAAAGGAUGUGGAGUUGCUUAGACAACUAGGAUGUUGGCUUAGAAGCAGCCACCAUUUAAAGAGUGCGUAAUAGCUCACUAGUCGAGUGACUCUGCGCCGAAAAUGUACCGGGGCUAAAUACACCACCGAAGCUGCGGAUUGAUACCAAUGGUAUCAGUGGUAGGGGAGCGUUCUAAGGACAGUGAAGUCAGACCGGAAGGACUGGUGGAGUGCUUAGAAGUGAGAAUGCCGGUAUGAGUAGCGAAAGACGGGUGAGAAUCCCGUCCACCGAAUGCCUAAGGUUUCCUGAGGAAGGCUCGUCCGCUCAGGGUUAGUCAGGACCUAAGCCGAGGCCGACAGGCGUAGGCGAUGGACAACAGGUUGAUAUUCCUGUACCACCUCUUUAUCGUUUGAGCAAUGGAGGGACGCAGAAGGAUAGAAGAAGCGUGCGAUUGGUUGUGCACGUCCAAGCAGUUAGGCUGAUAAGUAGGCAAAUCCGCUUAUCGUAAAGGCUGAGCUGUGAUGGGGAAGCUCCUUAUGGAGCGAAGUCUUUGAUUCCCCGCUGCCAAGAAAAGCUUCUAGCGAGAUAAAAGGUGCCUGUACCGCAAACCGACACAGGUAGGCGAGGAGAGAAUCCUAAGGUGUGCGAGAGAACUCUGGUUAAGGAACUCGGCAAAAUGACCCCGUAACUUCGGGAGAAGGGGUGCUUUCUUAACGGAAAGCCGCAGUGAAUAGGCCCAAGCGACUGUUUAGCAAAAACACAGCUCUCUGCGAAGCCGUAAGGCGAAGUAUAGGGGGUGACACCUGCCCGGUGCUGGAAGGUUAAGGAGAGGGGUUAGCGUAAGCGAAGCUCUGAACUGAAGCCCCAGUAAACGGCGGCCGUAACUAUAACGGUCCUAAGGUAGCGAAAUUCCUUGUCGGGUAAGUUCCGACCCGCACGAAAGGUGUAACGAUUUGGGCACUGUCUCAACCAGAGACUCGGUGAAAUUAUAGUACCUGUGAAGAUGCAGGUUACCCGCGACAGGACGGAAAGACCCCGUGGAGCUUUACUGUAGCCUGAUAUUGAAUUUUGGUACAGUUUGUACAGGAUAGGCGGGAGCCAUUGAAACCGGAGCGCUAGCUUCGGUGGAGGCGCUGGUGGGAUACCGCCCUGACUGUAUUGAAAUUCUAACCUACGGGUCUUAUCGACCCGGGAGACAGUGUCAGGUGGGCAGUUUGACUGGGGCGGUCGCCUCCUAAAGUGUAACGGAGGCGCCCAAAGGUUCCCUCAGAAUGGUUGGAAAUCAUUCGUAGAGUGCAAAGGCAUAAGGGAGCUUGACUGCGAGACCUACAAGUCGAGCAGGGACGAAAGUCGGGCUUAGUGAUCCGGUGGUUCCGCAUGGAAGGGCCAUCGCUCAACGGAUAAAAGCUACCCCGGGGAUAACAGGCUUAUCUCCCCCAAGAGUCCACAUCGACGGGGAGGUUUGGCACCUCGAUGUCGGCUCAUCGCAUCCUGGGGCUGUAGUCGGUCCCAAGGGUUGGGCUGUUCGCCCAUUAAAGCGGUACGCGAGCUGGGUUCAGAACGUCGUGAGACAGUUCGGUCCCUAUCCGUCGUGGGCGUAGGAAAUUUGAGAGGAGCUGUCCUUAGUACGAGAGGACCGGGAUGGACGCACCGCUGGUGUACCAGUUGUUCUGCCAAGGGCAUAGCUGGGUAGCUAUGUGCGGAAGGGAUAAGUGCUGAAAGCAUCUAAGCAUGAAGCCCCCUCAAGAUGAGAUUUCCCAUAGCGUAAGCUAGUAAGAUCCCUGAAAGAUGAUCAGGUUGAUAGGUUCGAGGUGGAAGCAUGGUGACAUGUGGAGCUGACGAAUACUAAUAGAUCGAGGACUUAACCAU
This 2921-nucleotide ribosomal RNA is filed under the name Bacillus cereus. RNAcentral's name for it is "23S ribosomal RNA". It matches the Rfam family "Bacterial large subunit ribosomal RNA". Lineage: Bacteria; Bacillati; Bacillota; Bacilli; Caryophanales; Bacillaceae. The record is from RNAcentral. RNAcentral also lists the same sequence under 1 other name.